This is a long non-coding RNA of Mesocricetus auratus (golden hamster), 2073 nucleotides long. RefSeq lists it as uncharacterized. Lineage: Eukaryota; Metazoa; Chordata; Mammalia; Rodentia; Cricetidae. The record is from RefSeq and is a predicted model, not a curated record. The transcript is spliced from 4 exons.
CAAGAGCGUGAGCCAGGCUUCAGAUGUUUGGCCAGGUCACAGUCGGAGAGACAAGCUGUCCACUGUGACUUCCCUCUACCUUCCAGGAGAGGUCAAAGCUGGUGUUUCUGUACCCAGCCUACCUUGUCAACAGAUGAUCAAAGAGGAACUAGCACAGAGAAAACCCUGGGCCACUCUAGUUUCUUCACCAAUAAAACAUGGAUGAUGGAAGCUGUUUCAUGAGGGUUGCCGAAGUUACUCCUGCAUCAGGGACCUCGGACUCAUAAUUGGACACAACUGGCUCAAUAAUUACCACACAGCUCAGGUUAUUAAGCUGAUAAAAACACAAGCUCAGGGUGGGUCUGUGGUGGUGCACGAUUUUAAUCCUAGCACUUGGGAGGCAGAAGCAGGUGGAUCACUGUGAAUUCGAGACAACCCUGGUCUACGCAGUGAGUUCCAGGACAGUCAGAACUAUGCCAGAGACCCUCUCUCAAGAACACAAGCAAAAGCCACAAGCCCAGAAUUUGGACUGCCGUCGUUACAGCACUUGUGGAAAGUCUAUCAAGAGCAAAACCAACAUGAAAGAAAGCCGAGCCAAGGGCUCGGGACAUAGUGUACAGGUACGAGGGACGCUGCUCAACUGGAGGGCAGUGCUAGGGAGGGGGCUAUGGAGUCAGGAUCCACCCUUGCCUGAAGACAUUAUAACCUCUGGCCUUUCCAACACUACAGGUUCUCACUAUGAAGCCCUGGCCAACCAGAAACUCACUUUGUAAACCAGGCUGGCCUAGAACUCACAGAGCUCCACCUGCCUCCUGCUCCCGAGUGCUGGGAUUGAAGGCGUGCGCCACCAUUGCUGGCCACCUUUCUCAUGACUUCCAGGACCAUCUGUGGCACAGCCUACAGUGGGGACCCUCCCACAGCCAUCAGCAAUAAGGAAACAUCACACAGACAUGCUUGCAGGCCAGGCUGAUGGUGGCAUUUCCUCGUCUCCUCCUUCCAAGAGACUCAAGUUGAUUAAAAAAAAUUAACCACCAUCUGGGAGAGAGUGAUUGCAAUCGCUGCAUAAUAAAUUCCUGAAGGCUGGGAGGUGGUGGUACACGCCUUUAAACCCACAAUUUUGGAGGUUUUGUUUUGUUUGGUUUGGUUUGGCUGGUUAGUUUUUAGAGACAGGAUUUCUCUGUGUAGCUCUGGCUGUCCUGAAAUACCAUCUGUAGACCAGGCUGGCCUUGAAUUCACAGAUUCACCUGCCUCUGCCUCCUGAGUGAUGGGAUUAAAGGUGUACACAGCCAUUGCCCAGAAGAUACUUUACAAGUGACAAACUUUCCUCCCUAAUAUUCUCUCAUUUGUUAUAUACUAAAUAGGAACACAUUUCAAAAAAACACCCUCACCAGUUUUAACCCUUUGUGGCUUUCCUGUCCUCUGACCUUUCCUGUUUUACUGAUGUUUCUUGAAGACUGUCUAUGAGUUCCUGAGGGUCAACAGCACCAAUCAAUCCUUCAGGGGCAGGGGACGGUAGCUGUGACAGCUUCACAUCUGAGCAUCUGUUCAGUUGUUCCCUCAUUUGAGACACUGAGGGCCUCCUUUAAGCAAAACUUCUCGUAUAGGCAGCAACAGUAAAGUGUAAGUGGAGUGGAGUGUGACUUGAUGUCAGACAUUCUGGAAGAGCUCUACAAACAAGGGACUGCUGGUCUAUUGUGAGGAGGGGGAACUUAAUACAAUUUGCUUACUUCUGAAUCUAUGACCUCCAUAUUUUUUUCAACAAAGCAAAGGAAACUCCCAAUUUGAUGACUAAUACUAAGGAAUUUUUAGACUCAGAAGAGGAAUUUAAAUGGUGCUCUCUGAGAGCUGUCAGGUGAGUCUCUUAAGCCUGGGUAGCAGAGGAAAACCUAAAAUAGUUUACAUUUUCCAGGGACACUGUGGUGCAGAGAUCCUGGGGUUCCUCAGACAAAGCCAUGUGCCAGAAACAGGCUUUGACUGGAGACUGAAGCAACCCAAGUACAUGGAAAGUUCUCUUUAUCUCAGCAUGCAUCUGUGCCUCUUUGUAUUAGCUGAGUUUAGUUUUCUAUUGCAACAUAAAGUACCUUUGUUUUUCAA